RNAcentral lists this ribosomal RNA (492 nucleotides) under uncultured bacterium. Its description in RNAcentral is "partial 16S ribosomal RNA". It matches the Rfam family "Bacterial small subunit ribosomal RNA", at positions 29 to 507 of the family's 1533-position model. The record is from RNAcentral.
AGUGAACGCUGGCGGUAGGCCUAACACAUGCAAGUCGAACGGCAGCACAGUAAGAGCUUGCUCUUACGGGUGGCGAGUGGCGGACGGGUGAGGAAUACAUCGGAAUCUACUUUUUCGUGGGGGAUAACGUAGGGAAACUUACGCUAAUACCGCAUACGACCUACGGGUGAAAGCAGGGGACCUUCGGACCUUGCGCGAUUGAAUGAGCCGAUGUCGGAUUAGCUAGUUGGCGGGGUAAAGGCCCACCAAGGCGACGAUCCGUAGCUGGUCUGAGAGGAUGAUCAGCCACACUGGAACUGAGACACGGUCCAGACUCCUACGGGAGGCAGCAGUGGGGAAUAUUGGACAAUGGGCGCAAGCCUGAUCCAGCCAUACCGCGUGUGUGAAGAAGGCCUUCGGGUUGUAAAGCCCUUUUGUUGGGAAAGAAAAGCAGCAGGUUAAUACCCCGCUGUUCUGACGGUACCCAAAGAAUAAGCACCGGCUAACUUCGUG